GGUAGCAAUACCAUGAGAGCGGCGCACGGGUGAGUAACGCGUGCACGACCUACCUCUGACAGGGGGAUAGCCCUGGGAAACUGGGAUUAAUACCGCAUAUUAUUCUGAUUAAUAAAGGAUUAGAAUGAAAGUUCAGGCGGUCAGAGAUGGGUGUGCGUCUGAUUAGCUAGUUGGUAGGGUAAUGGCCUACCAAGGGGAUGAUCAGUAGGGGGCGUGAGAGCGUGAUCCCCCACACGGGUACUGAGACACGGACCCGACUCCUACGGGAGGCAGCAGUAAGGAAUAUUGGACAAUGGCCGCAAGGCUGACCCAGCCAUCCAGCGUGCAGGAAGAAGGCCCUAUGGGUUGUAAACUGCUUUUAUCAGGGAAGAAACCUGUGGAUUUACUCCGCAGCUGACGGUACCUGAAGAAUAAGCACCGGCUAACUCCGUGCCAGCAGCCGCGGUAAUACGGAGGGUGCGAGCGUUAUCCGGAAUUACUGGGUUUAAAGGGUGCGUAGGCGGCUUUGUAAGUCAGGAGUGAAAGUUUGCGGCUCAACCGUAAAAUUGCUUCUGAUACUGCAUGGCUAGAAUUAGGAUGAGGUCAGCGGAAUGUGGCAUGUAGCGGUGAAAUGCAUAGAUAUGCCAUAGAACACCAAUUGCGAAGGCAGCUGACUAGACCUGGAUUGACGCUGAGGCACGAAAGCGUGGGGAGCGAACAGGAUUAGAUACCCUGGUAGUCCACGCCCUAAACGAUGCUUACUCGACGUAUGGCACUAGAUGUUGUGCGUCCAAGG
This 775-nucleotide ribosomal RNA is filed under the name uncultured bacterium. Its description in RNAcentral is "bacterial SSU rRNA". It matches the Rfam family "Bacterial small subunit ribosomal RNA", at positions 75 to 852 of the family's 1533-position model. The record is from RNAcentral.